GGGGACAUGUCUUCGGAUGUAACACCUGCACAGUAAGGUAAUGUUCUAGAUUUUUUUUGAAAGACCAAUCGUCUAAGCCUUCUAUAAUCCUGUGUUCUUUAAUAGUAUGAAUCACAAUCAAACUGGUCAGUAGUGACUAAGACUAAACAUGGGAUGGACUAGGAGCAGUGGUAGAUCUUGAAAGUGCUCUUUUGACACCCGACUACCUUUUUCUUGUCCAAUUAGAUUUCUGAUCUUUAGGUGUGUCCUUGAAGAUUCACAAUUUCACAUGCCUCUGUGCCAUCUCCGGACAGCUUGCAUGUGUCGCUACCACUCUAGUUCUAUUUUUGAAAAUCAUGACUAAUUCCCGUCUAUCACCACCGCCAUCCAACGAAUGACCAUUCAUUUAAAGCCGACAUCAAUUUGAGUUGACAAUCCAGAAGGCCGAAGGGCCUUGACGUUGGCACUUGAAAAUUAUCUGAUACGCAAAAUUUAGAUCAAUGUGGUCAUGUCUCUAUCGGUUUUCGCCUGUUUUUUUGUGACAAUUUUCUUCUUAAUUGAUGUACGAGGUCCAUUUAAAGAAUAACAAUUAGAUCAACAUGCCUUAAAUUUUGACUUAAAUCCAAGAUAUUCUUUACUGUAUUGUUUGUGUACAAAUCCUACUUACAAAGAAAAGAGAAUGCACAUGUUAACUCGGGAGCUGGCUGUGUUUUUUUAUUCUGUUCUUUAUCAGAUUCAUUUUUAUCUGUUUGCCAAUGAGUCCACUAAAGUCCGUGCCUCUAGUAGCCAGGAUUUAUAAGAGAGGGAGUAUUUGUCAACUUGGAGAGGGAGGGGGUGAGAAGUGACCUUGCUUCCUUUAAAUUUCGUUGUUGAGAGUACACAGUGAAGGUUAUACCUUUCUUCAUAUUUAUGCUGGCUAAUCUCUCGUUUUCGAUUGAAGUUCUUAGAUUUUUAUGAAUGGUUUCUCGUACAUGACAUGUACAGUCAUACCGUUAAUAUGUAUAAGGGAGUGAUUGCAACGGGUAAUGGCACUAGCACAAUUUUAAUUAAUUCAAAAUCGGCCCAUGAACUAUGUGACAAGGGUAUGUGGAAUAUUGAAUAUCCGACGACCACUCAAAAAUCAAGCUGUACUAGCUUGUACCCUUGAAGAUCAAGAUAUGCAAAGAGAAUAUAUGGCUUAUGCAUGCUUGAACUUUGGUAUAACUGAACAGUAUAGUUGCAUUGCAUCACCCUUCAGCUGUGUAUGUGGUUUGCUAGCAUUAUUGGUAUUCUUGCUCAAUUCAAUCUGAAUUAUCUCUGUCUCUGUUAUGUAUUAUUGCCAUUUUGUGUUGAUAGCUGAUUAGUCUCCUUCGUGUCUUCUUACACAUUUGGUUCUAAUUUCUUCUGUGUAAUAUAUAUAGCAGAUAGGGGGCACCAAAAGCCAUAGACAACGGAGGGACCAUCAUGGAUGGUUUCAUGGAUGCUGGACAGUUGCAGAUAAGUAUCCUUUUAUUCUAUGGUAUACACGAAGCCAGCAAGGGGAUCAUGAGAUCAAACCAGAUACUCGUGGCUGUGUGAAUUGGCUGGUGGGAAGUAGCUUAAUAUAUCCAGGUUUAAUUUCCAAGAGACAAAAAAAGAAACAGUGGUUAUGAAAACUUAAAAUGGACCAAGGACAUAAAAUUAUAAGGCCUCGUUUGAGAUACUAGCUACAGAGUAUUGUCGUACAAUGGACAGUGCUAGGUUAAAUUCAUUUUUUGGGUGGGAUAUUUGUACUAUGUAGGACCGCUCAAAGAAUAUAAUAUUAUGGACAAUUAAUUAAAGAUGCAUACUGUAGUGUCAACUGUUGCUGAUUGGAACUACUACUUGGCAGCAGCAGCCUGGGCCGGGGUACUACUCCCGGUACUACUUAAAACCAUGGGAGGUCUCAGCGCUGGAGUCAAGUUGCUCCUGGGAACUACUACCGAGGAGAGUGAUACGGCUGCUAGUGUUGUACUCGCCUUGGGAGCUGAAUCAUGGAGAUGCUGCCGGUACACUGCAAGUCUGCAACAUGCGGCUUCUCUCUUUCUCUCCCUAACAACCCCCCUUCUUCUUUCCUGUUGCCUUGUUUUCAUGGAAGCAGGUUUUAGCCAUGGUGGUGGGGCUUCAUCAAGUUCUUGUUGGGGUAAAAAUGGAGCAUGGAGUAAGCUAAGAGAUGAGCCAUUUUUGGCAAGGAAGGUGGCCUCACUUUGCUUUUGCCAGAUCUAGUUUGCAUCUUAGGAUGAGGGCAUCAUGUUAAUAGCCAACGUAACAGCUGCACCAUCAAUUUGCACAAGGUACAUAUACAGUAGGCAAGAUCAGAAGGGCAGUUAGAGAAGGCAUACACACACACAAGAUCACCAGGAACAAGAAGCAGAAGCUGGCCGGAACAGCAUGACGACUGUACGAACGAGACCUCAAAGAGGGCACGGCCAAGUCGUGGAUCAGUAUUUGUACCCGCUGAGUCAGACAAGAUGAAAAACUAGGUGCCGGGAGGAAGAACGUCGACCAGGGAAAUUAUCUAGCAUGUAUCACUGAAGUUGCUCUGUAACGACGUACCUGUUCCAGUCAACCGUGCAGGUCAACACGGCGCUGCUACAUACAUGAACUGGCUAACAACAAACAUAUCACUUAAUCAAAUGAAUUACAAUUCCCAUGACGGCGAACUGCGUUGUUACUUUGCGCAGAAGCCUAUCAAAGUUUCGACAUAAACAUGGGCGCCGGUGAAUUCUGAGGCGGCGAACCCCCUCUACUAGCAAGCACCUGCAACGAGAAAAUCGAUGAUCGAGUGAGGACCAAUAUGCGUGCUAGUACUGUAUAUCUUCAGAAAGUGUACAUCAGGAAUUAGUAGCAGAUGAAGUGCAUAUUACAGAUUCUGCUAAUGAUACAGGGAAUUCACAGCUUCAUAGAGGUAUUCCUGCACAGGGGUGAACUUCAUGCCUAGGUCCUUGAGAGGCUGGUUCGUGUACUUGUAACCCUUCUUUGGCGGAUUCACCUCGUCCUUGCAUCUGUACAGGUUUUGUGAAGGGUUAGAGACUUGUCACUGUCCAAAGAUGCCCAACUAAUUAAGUCAUUGUUAAGCGUGUUGAGAAGCUUUAAAAGUUUAAAAAGUUAAGGAUGCAUGAGAUCUCAAAGAA
Hordeum vulgare subsp. vulgare (domesticated barley) is the source of this 3110-nucleotide long non-coding RNA. RefSeq lists it as uncharacterized. The record is from RefSeq and is a predicted model, not a curated record. Lineage: Eukaryota; Viridiplantae; Streptophyta; Magnoliopsida; Poales; Poaceae. The transcript has 7 exons.